GAGUUUGAUCAUGGCUCAGAUUGAACGCUGGCGGCAGGCCUAACACAUGCAAGUCGAGCGGUAGAGAGAAGCUUGCUUCUCUUGAGAGCGGCGGACGGGUGAGUAAUGCCUAGGAAUCUGCCUGGUAGUGGGGGAUAACGCUCGGAAACGGACGCUAAUACCGCAUACGUCCUACGGGAGAAAGCAGGGGACCUUCGGGCCUUGCGCUAUCAGAUGAGCCUAGGUCGGAUUAGCUAGUUGGUGAGGUAAUGGCUCACCAAGGCGACGAUCCGUAACUGGUCUGAGAGGAUGAUCAGUCACACUGGAACUGAGACACGGUCCAGACUCCUACGGGAGGCAGCAGUGGGGAAUAUUGGACAAUGGGCGAAAGCCUGAUCCAGCCAUGCCGCGUGUGUGGAGAAGGUCUUCGGAUUGUAAAGCACUUUAAGUUGGGAGGAAGGGCAGUAAAUUAAUACUUUGCUGUUUUGACGUUACCGACAGAAUAAGCACCGGCUAACUCUGU
This 502-nucleotide ribosomal RNA is filed under the name uncultured bacterium. RNAcentral's name for it is "bacterial SSU rRNA". It matches the Rfam family "Bacterial small subunit ribosomal RNA", at positions 9 to 506 of the family's 1533-position model. The record is from RNAcentral.